GCACAAGCGGUGGAUGAUGUGGAUUAAUUCGAUGCAACACGAAGAACCUCACCUGGGCUUGACAUGUAUGUAGUAGGGACCGAAAGGCGACGACCUUCGGGAGCAUGCACAGGUGCUGCAUGGCUGUCGUCAGCUCGUGCCGUGAGGUGUUGGGUUAAGUCCCACAACGAGCGCAACCCCUGUUGCCAGUUAGACAUUUCUGGCGAGACAGCCGGCGUAUAACCGGAGGAAGGUGGGAUGACGUCAAGUCAGCAUGGCCUUUAUGUCCAGGGCUACACACACGCUACAAUGGUCGGAACAGAGGGCAGCCAAGCCGCGAGGCGGAGCGAAUCCCUAAAAGCCGAUCUCAGUUCAGAUUGCAGGCUGCAACCCGCCUGCAUGAAGUCGGAGUUGCUAGUAACCGCAGGUCAGCUAUACUGCGGUGAAUACGUUCCCGGGCCUU
RNAcentral lists this ribosomal RNA (442 nucleotides) under uncultured Caldilineaceae bacterium. Its description in RNAcentral is "bacterial SSU rRNA". It matches the Rfam family "Bacterial small subunit ribosomal RNA", at positions 923 to 1382 of the family's 1533-position model. The record is from RNAcentral. Lineage: Bacteria; Bacillati; Chloroflexota; Caldilineae; Caldilineales; Caldilineaceae.